UAGAUAAUGCCAAUUCAUCUAACGUGCACAUCUUUGGGAUCUGGGAGGAAACUGGAGUACCUGGAGAAGACUCACACAGACAUGGAGAGAAUGUGCAGACUUCACACAGACAGUGGUGCUAGUGGGAAUCAGUUUUUUUUCUCGGGAAAGAGCUUUGGACGCAAUUUGUUUCUUUUAAAAAGCUAAAGGAUGUUUGUUUCUAAUUAAUGGUAUAUGUACAAUCUGGAGUUUCUUGUUUCUUUCUUUUAAAUUUCAUUUUCUGUCUUUUAUUGUUCUGAAGGAGUUCCUUAACCUCCAGGAUGAAAAUCAGCAGUUGAAAAAAAUAUAUCAUGAACAAGAGCAAGCUCUUCAAGAACUCGGCAACAAGCUUAGCGAGUAAUUUCUUUUUUCCUUCAACUAAGUAGUCAUUAUUGACUUUUAUAAAAGGUAUAAGUGUGCCAAAUCUAUUAGGCAGAAAAGUUUAAAUAUAGGAAAGAUAUGAACUAGGCUGGGCGCGGUGGCUCACGCCUGUAAUCCCAGCACUUUGUAAUUCCUGGCCCAGGCGGGU
This 547-nucleotide long non-coding RNA is filed under the name Pan troglodytes (chimpanzee). Its description in RNAcentral is "long non-coding RNA NONPTRT002207". Lineage: Eukaryota; Metazoa; Chordata; Mammalia; Primates; Hominidae. The record is from RNAcentral.